This 6365-nucleotide long non-coding RNA is filed under the name Gossypium barbadense (sea-island cotton). Its description in RNAcentral is "long non-coding RNA (GBAR_LNC010926)". Lineage: Eukaryota; Viridiplantae; Streptophyta; Magnoliopsida; Malvales; Malvaceae. The record is from RNAcentral.
AAAAUAUGUUCUAGUUUAUUUCAUUAGAAACUAUACUUAAUAAGCUUUAAUUACAUAAUUUAUUCAGCUUCUAAUUCAUCUCCCACAAUUUAUGGUGAUUUUCCAAAGUCACGUUACUGCUGCUGUCCCAAGCAAAUUUAUUACCAAAUCACUCUUUCACACAUACCUUGCAUGCAUGUUAUUUAAACAUGUAUAUCACCAAUCAAUCAUCACAUAUCUAUGAUUUUACUUAAGUAUAAUCUCCAUUUCAUCAUUUUAAAGCACAACAUGUUAGCUGAUUUUUCCCUUUAACAUCUAAGGCACAUGCAUGCUCAUUUGUUUGGCUUAACUUCACCUAUCUUCCAUUUUUCAUCAAAAGAACAUGAAACAACAACAAUUUCCUUCAUUUUAAUUCAUGACUAAAUGCUCACAACACAACUAAAAAUCAAAAUAUACUUCAAGAGUUAAGGUAGAAUCAAGAAGAACUCAUGAACCUCAAAAUAGAAGCAAGGUACCAAGAACUUACCUUUAAUUUUCCUCUUCCUAAUGACCGAAUACUCAAGAGCUUUCUCCUCUCCUUUCUCUUCUCUAACUUUCAGCUAUGAUGAACAAAGAUGGACAAAACUUUGUUCUUUUCACCCCUUUUUCUUUUAAUAAAACUUCAUAUUUCAUCCAUUUAAUUCUUUAAUACAAAAGACAUGAAAUUCUUAUCAUGAGACAUUUACCUAACCCAUUAUCAUGAAACAUUUACCUAACCCAUUAUCAUGGAACAUUUACCUAACCUAUUAUCAAUUUGUAUCAAUUUGUACCAUAAAUUAUGGAUAUCAAGUGUACAUUUUGUCUACAACAACAUGAUGGCUGGCCACUUCAUGUAAAAUUGGAGGUUUGUCAUGCAAAUCCUCCUAUUUUGCACUCCUAUUUAUUUGGUCACUUCAAUUUAGCCUAUAGCAUUUUCAAACAUUUUCACAUAGGUUCUAUUUCAUAAUUUCACCCCCUUUUUGUUAUGGAACAAAAAUUAACUAAAAUUAUCGGGUUCUAUCUUAAGUUUGGGCUUUCUAGAGGCCUACUAACAUAAUUAAACCUAUGCCAACAUUCACAGGAUUCCUGAAAAUUGGGGCGUUACAACUCUACCCUCCUUAAAGAAAUUUCGUCCUCGAAAUUUACUUAAUCCAAACAGAUGAGGGUAUUGCUGUUGCAUCGUCUCUUCUGGCUCCCAAACUCAGAAGUUUCCCCUUCCUUAACUUGUUGAAAACGAGCAACCAAAGACUCAUCGUUCAACUAUUUUUCCUUAAUCUGAUCCACCCAGGUUGGCCUCACUUGCAACUCAGCCAACAGACUUCUAUCAUCAUACAGACUCAGACGAGCAAACAUUGCUCUCAGAUCAGAUACAGCUCUACAACUUAGAGCAUCGGCUACUACAUUAGCCUUGCUUGGGUGAUACUCGAUUGAACAAGCAUAAUCCUUAAGCAACUCAAUCCAUCUCCUUUGCCUAAGGUUCAGCUCCUUCUGAGUCAACAAAUACUUAAGACUCUUAUGGUCAGUGUAUAUAAUACACCUUUCUCCGUACAAGUAAUGUCUCCAAAUCUUAAGUGCAAAUAUCACUGCUGCCAACUCUAAAUCAUGAGUCAAAUAGUUUCCCUCAUGAGGCUUAAGCUAUCGUGAUGCAUAUGCAACCACCUUACCCUUUUGCAUUAACACGCAGCCCAAACCCACGUGUGAUGCAUCACUGUACACAGUAAAAUCAUUCCCAGACUCCGGUUGAAUUAACACAGGUGCUUCAGUCUUUCUUCAACUUCUCAAAAGCUUCCUGCUGCUUCUCAGUCCAUACAAACGGUACUCUUUUCCUUAUGCGUUUUGUCAGGGGUGCUGCCAUCGCAACCUUCUACAAACUUUCUGUAGCAUCCUGCCAGUCCUACGAAACUCCGUAUUUUCGACACUGAACUAGGCGGCUUCCACUCCAAAAUCGCUUCAAUUUUUCGAGGGUCCACCUUAAUCCCCUCAGCAGAGACCACAUGCCCUAAGAAGGUUACCUCCCUCAACCAAAAUUCACACUUGCUAAACUUCGCAAAGAGUUUCUUCUCCCCUAACACUUGCAGCAAUAUACGGAGAUACUCAUCAUGUUUCGCUUCAGUUUCAGAAUAUACCAGGAUAUCGUUAAUAAAGACAACUACGAACUGAUCUAAAAAUGGUUGGAACACGCGAUUCAUCAAAUCCAUAAACGCUACAGGAGCGUUCGUCAGUCCAAAUGGCAUAACCAGAAACUCGUAAUGACCAUACCGAGUCCUGAAUAUUGUCUUAUGGAUAUCCACUUCCUUUACCCUUAACUGAUGGUAUCCAGAUCGAAGGUCAAUCUUGGAAAAUACCGAAGCUCCUCUAAGUUGGUCAAAUAAAUCAUCAAUCCUUGGUAGUGGAUACUUAUUUUUAAUCCUCAGUUUGUUCAACUGGCGAUAAUCAAUGCACAUCUGCAUCGUACCAUCCUUCUUUUUCACGAAUAGCACUGGUGCUCCCCAUGGAGACACGCUUGGCCUAAUGAAGCCCUUAUCCAACAACUCUUGAAUUUGUGCCUUUAGCUCCACCAACUCCUUCGGUGCCAUUCUAUACGGUGCGAUAGACACAGGUGCCGUUCCAAGCAAUAAGUCGAUUCUAAACUCCACUUCUCGGUUCGGAGGCAAUCCUAGAAGCUCUUCCAGAAAAAUAUCUUGUAACUCCUUUACAGUCCUAACCUUAUCCACUGUCAGUCCCUCCUCUUCCAACUGACUUACAAAUGCCAAUUAGGCCUCACAACCUUUCCGAAUCCACUUUUCGGCUCUUAAUGCCGACACCAUAUUGGACAAAUAAUCCCUUCUCUCACCUAUCACCAUAACCUCCUCAUCCCUUGUAGUUCUUAACACCAUUCAUUUAGCAGCACAAUCUAGAGUCGCCUUAUGCUUAACAAGCCAAUCCAUUCCCAGAAUGAGGUCAAACUCUCCGAAUGGUAACUCCAUCAGAUCUCCAGGAAAAAAAAAACCUUGCCUUGAGUUUCUAAGGGUACAUUCCUAUACAGUUUGUCUACCCUAAUCGAGUGACCCAAGGGACUUAGUACAGAUACCCCACUCACAAUCUCCUCAGAGCAGUCCAAGUCAUCCAUAAUCCAUUCUGUGGCCUCCAACCAAUAUUCCGCCACAUUCGGGGCUAUACCAGACACGCCCUUAAAGAUCUCCGUUCCGUUAGUCCCGAAGUCAUUCAGAAAUAGAUCCCUGAAUUUCGUUGUCCGAACUUGCUCUGGAAACCCUUUCCAGAACACGAAGCAUUGCCUGUGACAGGGCAUCAUCCUCGGCACCGCGGUCAUGAGACUCUACCUCUGUUACCGGUGGUACCGGUGCAUCCACCGCUGGCAUAUGUCUCGAAGACGAAGAUCUCGCUCGAGCACUUCCUCGGCUCCGUCCACGGCCUCUUAUACUCAUAUCGUAUUAUCUUGAUUACAAAUUUUUAUGCAUCAAUUCAAUAUUCCAGUGUUUAUUACAGAUGUUUUAUGAAUCAGACAGUAAUUAAAAGUUUGUUUUCGCAGAAUCAAAGUCUAGCUACAGUUUUAGUCUCUUAUCAGAUUUUCCUAUGGUUUCAGAAUCAUCUUAUCUAGAGUAUCCUAGUAGGGUUUCAGUACAGACAGAUAAUUCAGAAAAAUAUUCAGAAGAGUUCAGAGUAAUAGUUACAGGCUUGAGCCGGAGAUUCGGAAUGCCACCUUCUAAAGAUCUAAAUUUUGAAAACCGCGUUUUUCGCAAUCUUUAUAAAAUUUUUAUUUUCGAAGAUCUAAAUUUUGUAAACCCAUUCCACAGCCGAGUUGUUGUAACCUAGGCUCUGAUACCACUAAAUGUAGUACCCCAAACCCGGCCCAGAAGUUAUGGCCGAAUCCGGCAUGCCACAUCAAAAACGUUAAAAAAAUUUUCCAUUCUAAGUCCAGAAAAUCGUACUUGAUGUUCAAAAGAUUAAUUCAUUAAGGGUUAAAGUGAAUGGAAGCUGUGCACCAGGUAGGAAACCGAAAAAGAGGUGGUGAGUCCAUCGGACUGCUUAAUUACCAAGCUCCCUUCGGAUCCAAUCCUAGACAUGCAUACCGCCAUUGCCACACCUUAACGUCAUGGAUAUUUCUAGGAAACCGAUUUGAUUAAGUCAUUUUUAAGAAAAGUGAUUAAUUUUGGAAAAUACUUUCAUUGCGGAAGCUUUGCUUGUUGUCGUGUUAUUUUGAAAUCAAUUGUUGUUUUUGAAAAUGCGCCCUAAAGCUAUCCAAAUUCAACAGUUAAAAUAAGUAAUACCUAUCUUAGUAAUACAUAUUAAAACCAUCAAAAAUAAUUAAGCGGCCUUAUUACAGUUAAAAACCCAAAACUUCAAACGUAAAUAAAAGGAUGUCCAGUUCACCAGAAGAAAAUCAAACUUUCAGAACGGGUGGCCACUCCGAAUUCCCUCACAACUCCAAGCCCACUAUGGUUGGGGAUUUCCUGCGUGGAUGAAAAUAAAAAGGGUGAGUUUGGGGAAACUCAGUGUGUAAGGAAAACCCAUUCAAAGCCCAAGUCAGCUCAAGCCCAUUGGGCCUAAGCCCAUUCAGGUAACAGUGGUACUGGGCCAGAGCCCUUUUCAGAUUACAAUAAACUGGGCCUUAGCCCCUUAUUCAGAUAACAGUAUGGCCCAUAGGCCCAUUUGGAAAUACAUGCAACAUCAAUAAACAUAUGCAAGCCCAUUUGGGGAGACUACUCAACCCACCAACCACUAUACUCCACCCGUACCAGCCAUACACUCCAUGUGGGGAAUAGCUCAACCCACCCAGCCUAACACUCCACAGUUGCAGCCUUGCUGCUCAGUUAACAGUAAAUUGAGGCAAAGCCUCUAGUAUGUGGACAAGCCACUUUCAGUACUUCCUCCGUCAAUAUCCCAAUCCCAUGCAUCAGAUAAUAACAACAUGGCAUGCAGUAAAUAACAACAGUCAAACAUGCAUUUAGGUCAAUUUAACCCUAGGGGUAUUUCGGUAAUUUAUCUCCUAGGGGUAAAACUGUAAAUUUUCCACUUUUAAAGGUAUUUCAGCAAUUUAUCUAUUUUAGGGUUUUUCAUGCAUAUUCCUACUUUUUACGUACUAACAGAAUCACGUACCGAGGGUUCUUACCGAAUUGGGCCUGUUGGCCCAUCAUUCCAAUUUUGGCCCAUUAUGCCCAAAAAUAUCGAGGGCACAGAAAUCAUGCACUUUGUAGUCCAAAUUUUGCAGCUUACCAAAAACAUUAAUCGAUUUACCUCACGAGCAUUCGCACACUCGCAAAUCUAAAAAAACACCGGUUUUUGGCAUUUCGGCUUUUCGACUUUUGCCGAUCCAGACUAAGAAAGAGGGUGUUAGUUACACACCUGUUUGCGACGAUAUGCUGACGAGAUCCACACACGAACUGCCUACAAUUGGAUUACUAACACGUUAAUCUAACUAUUCAAAUACAAACUACGUAUUAACCCCUUACAAUAUUCGGCCAACCACACCUACAGAUCAUAGUAAGCUUAUAAGAAAACAAUAAGCAACUCAUUAACAAAUUUUUGUCAAUGUUUACCACAUAAUCAUAAUUUCACUGCAAGCUAUCUUCCUGAGCAACAGUCACUAAAUCAUUUAUAACUGGAGCUACGAAACUCCUAAUUAAGUUCCAUUAAUUUUCCUUGAAAAUAGACUCAUAUAUAUUCUAUCCAUUAAAGUUUCAGAAUUUUUGGUUUAGCCAAUCAAUACCAGAUUUUUCUCAAAGUUUCCCAUGUUUCACUGUUUGACUAAUCUGACCACUCUUCAUUACGAAUCAAAUUUCUCAUUGUACAGAAUUCAAAAUAUGUUAUAUUUUAUUUCAUUAGAAACUAGACUUAAUAAUAUUUAAUUACAUAAUUUAUUCAGCUUCUAAUUCAUCUCCCACAAUUUAUGGUGAUUUUCCAAAGUCACGUUACUGUUGCUGUCCCAAGCAGAUUUAUUACCAAAUCACUCUUUCACACAUACCUUGCAUGCAUGUUAUUUAAACAUGUAUAUCACCAAUCAAUCAUCACAUAUCUAUGAUUUUACUUAAGUAUAAUCUCCAUUUCAUCAUUUUUAAGCACAACAUGUUAGCUGAUUUUUCCCUUUAACAUCUAAGGCACAUGCAUGCUCAUUUGUUUGGCUCAACUUCACCUAUCUUCCAUUUUUCAUCAAAAGAACAUGAAACAACAACCAUUUCCUUCAUUUUAAUUCAUGACUAAAUGCUCACAACACAACUAAAAAUCAAAAUAUACUUCAAGAGUUAAGGUAGAAUCAAGAAGAACUCAUGAACCUCAAAAUAGAAGCAAGGUACCAAGAACUUACCUUUAAUUUUCCUCCUCCUAAUGACCGAAUACUCAAGAGCUUUCUCCUCUCCUUUCUCUUCUCUAAC